AAGCACAUCAUAGUUUAGUAGUACAAAAUUUUAAACCCUAGGAGGGAAAAAAUUCAGGGAGACAGAAGUGAUCAUUUACAGGCAGUAGAGGAUAUGUUGUUCUGAGGUGACUGACAUUUUUCCUGUCGAGAGUUGAAGAAGACUUGGAAAAGGCAGAAUUUGAGAUUGGCCUUGCUGGUCGGAGGAUUUAGACUACGGAACUCCGCUGGGCGCCCGAAGAAGUAGCAGCACAAAGAUGCACACUUUACAGCUCUGUUGCCAAGGAAGCGCUCGCAAUCUAGAAUGCUGAGCAGAUGUGUGAACGGAGAACAGAGGAGGACCCCGGAAAUGGGUGUGAUCUUCGUAUGACUGAGGAGAAGCAGGAGGCAUGGCGUGUAUGUGGAGAGAGAGACACACACACAGAGAGAGGGACAGACAGACAGAGUUCUGGAAGGAUUCUACUUAGGAUGUAAUAUUUGCACUGAAUCUCAAGACCUCAGUUCUCUGUGGACUUGGAGGAAGAACAUUCUAGAUUGAUGGAACAGGAAGUGCCAAGGCUGAAAGACCGGGAGAAUUCAGAGAUGUCUGUGUGACAGGGACAGAGGAUUGCGUGGGUGUGGCAAUAGAUGCGAUGUGCUCUCCAUUCUCUGGAUGUGAAGGAACAGCACGAGUUAGGGAAAGCAGGAUGUGAAGAGCGAAUGAAAGACUGAGAUACAGAACUCAAUCAGCGUCGCACACGCACACAGAUCUCUCUCGAGCAAACAUGAAACUGGGGUACUGGUAGCUGCUGGCAAUCAUGCCCAAGUUUGGUGGCCCCAGUAGGUAGAAAGUGUCCAAAAGAGACCAAAGGGGUCAGAAGGACCAACAACAUUGAUGGGAAGACUUAGGAGCAGGAAGGUGAGGGACAAGCCAAAGAUCACAUAGGUAAGAAAUGAUGGAGCCAGAUAUCGGCUCCAGAAGGCCACUUCUUUGCCCACUAGGGUAAAGUACCUGGGG
This is a long non-coding RNA of Chinchilla lanigera (long-tailed chinchilla), 975 nucleotides long. RefSeq lists it as uncharacterized. The transcript is spliced from 4 exons. Lineage: Eukaryota; Metazoa; Chordata; Mammalia; Rodentia; Chinchillidae. The record is from RefSeq and is a predicted model, not a curated record.